UACGUAGGGUGCGAGCGUUAAUCGGAAUUACUGGGCGUAAAGCGUGCGCAGGCGGCGCACCAAGCUCGAUGUGAAAGCCCCGGGCUUAACCUGGGAAUUGCAUUGAGGACUGGUGUGCUCGAGUACGGCAGAGGGGGGUGGAAUUCCACGUGUAGCAGUGAAAUGCGUAGAGAUGUGGAGGAACACCGAUGGCGAAGGCAGCCCCCUGGGCCGACACUGACGCUCAUGCACGAAAGCGUGGGGAGCAAACAGG
This 253-nucleotide ribosomal RNA is filed under the name uncultured bacterium. RNAcentral describes it as "partial 16S ribosomal RNA". It matches the Rfam family "Bacterial small subunit ribosomal RNA", at positions 524 to 776 of the family's 1533-position model. The record is from RNAcentral.